This 1552-nucleotide ribosomal RNA is filed under the name Escherichia coli. RNAcentral describes it as "bacterial SSU rRNA". It matches the Rfam family "Bacterial small subunit ribosomal RNA". Lineage: Bacteria; Pseudomonadati; Pseudomonadota; Gammaproteobacteria; Enterobacterales; Enterobacteriaceae. The record is from RNAcentral.
AAAUUGAAGAGUUUGAUCAUGGCUCAGAUUGAACGCUGGCGGCAGGCCUAACACAUGCAAGUCGAACGGUAACAGGAAGAAGCUUGCUUCUUUGCUGACGAGUGGCGGACGGGUGAGUAAUGUCUGGGAAACUGCCUGAUGGAGGGGGAUAACUACUGGAAACGGUAGCUAAUACCGCAUAACGUCGCAAGACCAAAGAGGGGGACCUUCGGGCCUCUUGCCAUCGGAUGUGCCCAGAUGGGAUUAGCUAGUAGGUGGGGUAACGGCUCACCUAGGCGACGAUCCCUAGCUGGUCUGAGAGGAUGACCAGCCACACUGGAACUGAGACACGGUCCAGACUCCUACGGGAGGCAGCAGUGGGGAAUAUUGCACAAUGGGCGCAAGCCUGAUGCAGCCAUGCCGCGUGUAUGAAGAAGGCCUUCGGGUUGUAAAGUACUUUCAGCGGGGAGGAAGGGAGUAAAGUUAAUACCUUUGCUCAUUGACGUUACCCGCAGAAGAAGCACCGGCUAACUCCGUGCCAGCAGCCGCGGUAAUACGGAGGGUGCAAGCGUUAAUCGGAAUUACUGGGCGUAAAGCGCACGCAGGCGGUUUGUUAAGUCAGAUGUGAAAUACCCGGGCUCAACCUGGGAACUGCAUCUGAUACUGGCAAGCUUGAGUCUCGUAGAGGGGGGUAGAAUUCCAGGUGUAGCGGUGAAAUGCGUAGAGAUCUGGAGGAAUACCGGUGGCGAAGGCGGCCCCCUGGACGAAGACUGACGCUCAGGUGCGAAAGCGUGGGGAGCAAACAGGAUUAGAAACCCCGGUAGUCCACGCCGUAAACGAUGUCGACUUGGAGGUUGUGCCCUUGAGGCGUGGCUUCCGGAGCUAACGCGUUAAGUCGACCGCCUGGGGAGUACGGCCGCAAGGUUAAAACUCAAAUGAAUUGACGUGGGCCCGCACAAGCGGUGGAGCAUGUGGUUUAAUUCGAUGCAACGCGAAGAACCUUACGGUCUUGACAUCCACGGAAGUUUUCAGAGAUGAGAAUGUGCCUUCGGGAACCGUGAGACAGGUGCUGCAUGGCUGUCGUCAGCUCGUGUUGUGAAAUGUUGGGUUAAGUCCCGCAACGAGCGCAACCCUUAUCCUUUGUUGCCAGCGGUCCGGCCGGGAACUCAAAGGAGACUGCCAGUGAUAAACUGGAGGAAGGUGGGGAUGACGUCAAGUCAUCAUGGCCCUUACGACCAGGGCUACACACGUGCUACAAUGGCGCAUACAAAGAGAAGCGACCUCGCGAGAGCAAGCGGACCUCAUAAAGUGCGUCGUAGUCCGGAUUGGAGUCUGCAACUCGACUCCAUGAAGUCGGAAUCGCUAGUAAUCGUGGAUCAGAAUGCCACGGUGAAUACGUUCCCGGGCCUUGUACACACCGCCCGUCACACCAUGGGAGUGGGUUGCAAAAGAAGUAGGUAGCUUAACCUUCGGGAGGGCGCUUACCACUUUGUGAUUCAUGACUGGGGUGAAGUCGUAACAAGGUAACCGUAGGGGAACCUGCGGUUGGAUCACCUCCUUACCUUAAAGAAGC